RNAcentral lists this ribosomal RNA (497 nucleotides) under uncultured bacterium. RNAcentral describes it as "partial 16S ribosomal RNA". It matches the Rfam family "Bacterial small subunit ribosomal RNA", at positions 28 to 507 of the family's 1533-position model. The record is from RNAcentral.
GAUGAACGCUGGCGGCGUGCCUAAUACAUGCAAGUCGAGCGAACGGACGAGAAGCUUGCUUCUCUGAUGUUAGCGGCGGACGGGUGAGUAACACGUGGAUAACCUACCUAUAAGACUGGGAUAACUUCGGGAAACCGGAGCUAAUACCGGAUGAUAUUUUGAACCGCAUGGUUCAAAAGUGAAAGACGGUUUUGCGGUCACUUAUAGAUGGAUCCGCGCUGCAUUAGCUAGUUGGUAAGGUAACGGCUUACCAAGGCAACGAUGCAUAGCCGACCUGAGAGGGUGAUCGGCCACACUGGAACUGAGACACGGUCCAGACUCCUACGGGAGGCAGCAGUAGGGAAUCUUCCGCAAUGGGCGAAAGCCUGACGGAGCAACGCCGCGUGAGUGAUGAAGGUCUUCGGAUCGUAAAACUCUGUUAUUAGGGAAGAACAUAUGUGUAAGUAACUGUGCACAUCUUGACGGUACCUAAUCAGAAAGCCACGGCUAACUACGUG